UUUUCGGAUCGCAUGAUUUGAUUAUUAAAGUUCCAACGGUAAAAGAUGAGUAUGCGUCCCAUUAGCUAGAUGGUAAGGUAACGGCUUACCAUGGCAACGAUGGGUAGGGGUCCUGAGAGGGAGAUCCCCCACACUGGUACUGAGACACGGACCAGACUCCUACGGGAGGCAGCAGUGAGGAAUAUUGGACAAUGGGCGCAAGCCUGAUCCAGCCAUGCCGCGUGCAGGAAGACGGUCCUAUGGAUUGUAAACUGCUUUUAUACAGGAAGAAACACUCGGACGUGUCCGAACUUGACGGUACUGUAUGAAUAAGCAUCGGCUAACUCCGUG
This 330-nucleotide ribosomal RNA is filed under the name uncultured bacterium. RNAcentral's name for it is "bacterial SSU rRNA". It matches the Rfam family "Bacterial small subunit ribosomal RNA", at positions 179 to 507 of the family's 1533-position model. The record is from RNAcentral.